Molecule: long non-coding RNA, 1265 nt
Organism: Merops nubicus (carmine bee-eater)
Lineage: Eukaryota; Metazoa; Chordata; Aves; Coraciiformes; Meropidae
Exons: 2
Source: RefSeq, a predicted model, not a curated record
CAACUCUUACUCACAGGAUGGCAAUGGUUAUAUCAGUGCAGCAGAACUACGUCAUGUUAUGACAAACUUAGGAGAAAAGCUAACAGAUGAAGAAGUAGAUGAAAUGAUCAGAGAAGCAGACAUUGAUGGGGAUGGGCAAGUCAACUAUGAAGAAUUCGUACAGAUGAUGACUGCAAAGUGAAGAGACCUCCUUUACACCUUUUUUCCUCUAGAAGAAUCAAAUUGAAUCUUUUACUUACCUCUUGCAAAAAAAAAUGUUCAUUUAUUCAUUCUGUUUCUGUAUAGCAAAACUGAAUGUCAAAAUACCUUCUGUCCACAAACUGCAUGUAAUGGUUGGUGGUCCUGUCCCCAAAAGAUAAACAUCAGUUUUACAAUAUAAAUAAUUGUACUACCUUGAAAAAUAAAAAAAAAAGGAAGCACUUAGUGAACUCAAAAGUUCCAUUUGCUAAUGACUAUUACACUGUUUGGGCUGGCCAGUUUUUCAUGCAUGCAGCUUGACAAUUGAGCACAGUCAGACAUUUGUAUUAAAAGGAAAAAAAAAACAACCUAAAGGAUCCACUCUUUUGUUCAACAGUGGAUUCUAGUUCAAUUUGUAGUAUAAAUUGUCAUAGCUGGUUUACUUUAAAAUUGGUUUAUACCUCAGGAUGGUAUGCAGCAAAAUGGUUGAAGGAUGCAAAACUUAGAGAAAAUGCCCUAAAGGUUGAAUGGUUCUCCUGUACGUAGCAGUGUGCUCCAAAAAUACGGUGAUCUUAACUGUGGAUGGCAUAUCUGUGUUAAAAUACUGGUUUAACAUUGUCUGCAUUGCACUAUAGUGAAACGGGUGUCGGGCUGUUACCGUUCACAAAAUUUUUAAAAGAAACCUUCACCAAGGGAGCAUCUUUGGACUCUCAUAUUUUUAAAACCUUCUGUACCAUGACUUGGAGCUGGCGGAGUAGCCUGUGGACUUCAGCACAACUAUCAACAUUGCUGUUCAAGAUACUACAAUUAAUGUCCAUUCCAAGUUGUAAAUGCUAGUCUUUUUUUCCAAUAAAAGACCAUUAACUUAAAGGUGGUGUUAAAUGCUUUGUAAAGCUAAAAUAUAUAUAUAAUUGAGAUAAUAAACCAAAAAAGCAGUAGGAGGGAAGUGUUUCUAUGAAUGACUUGCUGCUAAAUUAUAAUGCACAUGUAUGCAAUAAGUUAUCCCCUAUCUUUUCAAGAUGGCAAGAACUGACCUCCUGUAACCCAAGACCUUUGCUAUAAAUAAAUGAACUCGUGCUUGCCUUUCA